Molecule: small nucleolar RNA, 120 nt
Organism: Rattus norvegicus (Norway rat)
Lineage: Eukaryota; Metazoa; Chordata; Mammalia; Rodentia; Muridae
Product: small nucleolar RNA SNORA17
Source: Ensembl
ACUGUCCUUAGAGGCUUUGCAGGUAUGACUGAUGUGUCAGAGAUGCACCAGUAGGUAGUAGAGAGGAGAGAAGGUAUGUAUACAUUCAAUAUUCUGACCUGUGAUUAGUAGCCUAAUAUU